Molecule: transfer RNA, 77 nt
Filed under: Dethiosulfovibrio marinus
Lineage: Bacteria; Thermotogati; Synergistota; Synergistia; Synergistales; Dethiosulfovibrionaceae
Also listed under: 7 other names
Description: tRNA-Arg
Rfam family: tRNA
About the family: Transfer RNA (tRNA) molecules are approximately 80 nucleotides in length. Their secondary structure includes four short double-helical elements and three loops (D, anti-codon, and T loops).
Source: RNAcentral
GCGCCGGUAGCUCAGUUGGAUAGAGCAACGGCCUUCUAAGCCGUGGGUCGCGGGUUCGAAUCCUGCCCGGCGCGCCA